This 936-nucleotide long non-coding RNA is filed under the name Lactuca sativa (garden lettuce). RNAcentral describes it as "long non-coding RNA (LSAT_LNC007250)". Lineage: Eukaryota; Viridiplantae; Streptophyta; Magnoliopsida; Asterales; Asteraceae. The record is from RNAcentral.
AAUUAUCGUUCCAUGGAAAGAUAAAACAAAUCAAUAGUUGUAACAAAAAUUUACAAACUAAUUAGUUACAAGAAAUUUAAAAAAAUAUACCCUCAAAUGCUUUUCAAAGUCUAAUCUCCAAGUGAUGGAGGCUUUGUUGCAAAGUGAACGACCAAGUCAUCUAAGAGAAACAUGACUAAAACUUCCAAAAUCUUCUGUGUACCCAUAUCCCUCUUCUUUUAAAGUUUCCAGAAUGUUUAGAAUGCUCUCCUUGCCCUGUUAUUUCAAGUGUCAGGGGAAAAAAAGUCACAAAGUCAUAGAAAGUAACUAUAUUUAUUGAAGAGUAUCAUGUAAACUUGUAUGAAGUACAUAUAGUCAUAUAUACAUGCAAGAUUCUAAACAGUACCUCUUUAACGGAAUGGUGUUAUUUUUGUAAUCCAAAGGAACUGUUGAAAGUGCAGGUUCAAGUGGAAAAGUCGUAAAUGUUUCAUUAAGCAUUAAUUUUGCCUUCUGUAGUUCAUGUUGCACUUUAUCCAAAUUUCCUUCAAUAUUGUAAAGCAUUGCUUGUAAAAGCAUCUGCUCACUCCUGACCCCACACUUUUGGUUCCCUAUUAGAUGCAGCAUCAAGAACAGAGAACAUGAUCACACCAAACAUAAUCAAUAAUCAGAUUGAAGUAUAUAUUAUGAGUAAGUAAUAAAGUACAUGCAACACAAUAAAGUAUUAUUAAGGAACUUAUGAUUUCAAAUAUUAUUGUUUACACUCAGAUGCCAAAAUAUUUUAUGUUAUUCUUCUACAAGUUGAGAACCAACUCAAACAUGAAAGAUAAUAGUCCAUCUGGCAGCUUUUGAUGACAUGGCAAAUGAAAUUUCUCAGAGAUAAAAUAAUACCUGUACUAUUAAAAUGAUGGCAACCACAACAGGUGGUCCAAUAACUACAUCCAAAAACAUGCCUUUAAU